CCAAGUCUCCCCCCCCCCACCCCAAAAGGACUUACCAUCUCCACCAGAAACCACUGUUCACCACGGCUCCAAACAGCUCUGUAGUCCGGCCUUUACUUCAGAGACCAAUGUGGACCCUUUGUAGC
Molecule: long non-coding RNA, 125 nt
Organism: Etheostoma spectabile (orangethroat darter)
Lineage: Eukaryota; Metazoa; Chordata; Actinopteri; Perciformes; Percidae
Exons: 3
Source: RefSeq, a predicted model, not a curated record